CAUGGGUGGCGGACGGGUGAGUAACGCGUGGGCAACCUGGCCUGUACAGGGGAUAACACUUAGAAAUAGGUGCUAAUACCGCAUAACGGGGGAAGCCGCAUGGCUUUUCCCUGAAAACUCCGGUGGUACAGGAUGGGCCCGCGUCUGAUUAGCCAGUUGGCAGGGUAACGGCCUACCAAAGCGACGAUCAGUAGCCGGCCUGAGAAGGCGGACGGCCACACUGGGACUGAGACACGGCCCAGACUCCUACGGGAGGCAGCAG
This 262-nucleotide ribosomal RNA is filed under the name uncultured bacterium. RNAcentral describes it as "partial 16S ribosomal RNA". It matches the Rfam family "Bacterial small subunit ribosomal RNA", at positions 90 to 354 of the family's 1533-position model. The record is from RNAcentral.